GAACAUCGACACCUUGAACGCACAUUGCGGCUCUGGCUCACUGCCAGAGCCACGCCUGUCCGAGGGUCGGCGAACAAGUCAUCGCCACGGACCGAUUCGUUUCGGUCUCGGCGCGUUGGCGUGUCGCGCGGGCACAGUUCCGCUCGUCCGCCGUAGACUUCAGCCUCUCUCUUGGCGGCCAGUCGAAGUGGCGCAGGGACAGGGCUCGAACGGGCCUUCUGUCUAGCGCACGUCCCCCCCCUUUCACCGGGCGGGGCGACCUUCGCCGGCUACGCCACCUGGCUCGUCGACUUGACCGUCGACGGGAGAGAGAGCGCGGCUUCGCUGCCGCGGCAAGGAGAAACCUAUGAACGGCUUCUCUCGCAUCCGACCUCGGAUCAGACGGGGAUACCCGCUGAAUUUAAGCAUAUCAGUAAGCGGAGGAAAAGAAACUAACCAGGAUUCCCUUAGUAACGGCGAGUGAAGGGGGAAAAAAGCCA
Molecule: ribosomal RNA, 479 nt
Filed under: Dosinia japonica
Lineage: Eukaryota; Metazoa; Mollusca; Bivalvia; Venerida; Veneridae
Description: eukaryotic LSU rRNA
Rfam family: Eukaryotic large subunit ribosomal RNA (bases 368-479)
Source: RNAcentral